GCCCCCGUACUUCAGUGGAAGAAGACUACGCAAUCGGCCGAUAGGGUGUAGAAAGUCAUUAGUUCGAUUCUAAUCGGGGGCA
This 82-nucleotide transfer RNA is filed under the name archaeon. Its description in RNAcentral is "tRNA-OTHER". RNAcentral also lists the same sequence under 1 other name. The record is from RNAcentral.